RNAcentral lists this ribosomal RNA (449 nucleotides) under uncultured bacterium. RNAcentral describes it as "bacterial SSU rRNA". It matches the Rfam family "Bacterial small subunit ribosomal RNA", at positions 355 to 796 of the family's 1533-position model. The record is from RNAcentral.
UAGGGAAUUUUCCGCAAUGGGCGCAAGCCUGACGGAGCAAUGCCGCGUGAGGGAAGAAGGCCUUCGGGUCGUAAACCUCUUUCGUUUGGGAAGAAAGCGAUGAACAAGAAACGGUGCACCAUUGACGGUACCAGAGGAAGAAGCCCCGGCUAAUUACGUGCCAGCAGCCGCGGUAAUACGUAAGGGGCAAGCGUUGUCCGGAAUCACUGGGCGUAAAGGGCGCGUAGGCGGUUCGUUAAGUCAGAAGUGAAAGCGCUGGGCCUAACCCAGCAACGGCUUUUGAGACUGGCGAGCUAGAGGGUCCUAGGGGAUGCUGGAAUUCCAGGUGUAGCGGUGAAAUGCGUAGAUAUCUGGGAGAACACCCGUGGCGAAGGCGGGCAUCUGGGGGACACCUGACGCUGAGGCGCGAAAGCUAGGGGAGCGAACGGGAUUAGAUACCCCCGUAGUCC